UGGCUCCGUAGCUCAGCCUGGUUAGAGCACUGGACUUUUAAUCCAGGUGUCGUGGGUUCAAAUCCCAUCGGGGCCAU
RNAcentral lists this transfer RNA (77 nucleotides) under Candidatus Diapherotrites archaeon ADurb.Bin253. RNAcentral's name for it is "tRNA-Lys". It matches the Rfam family "tRNA". From Rfam's summary of the family: Transfer RNA (tRNA) molecules are approximately 80 nucleotides in length. Their secondary structure includes four short double-helical elements and three loops (D, anti-codon, and T loops). The record is from RNAcentral. Lineage: Archaea; Nanobdellati; Candidatus Iainarchaeota.